GAUGAACGCUGGCGGCGUGCCUAAUACAUGCAAGUCGAGCGAACGGACGAGAAGCUUGCUUCUCUGAUGUUAGCGGCGGACGGGUGAGUAACACGUGGAUAACCUACCUAUAAGACCGGGAUAACUUCGGGAAACCGGAGCUAAUACCGGAUAAUAUUUUGAACCGCAUGGUUCAAAAGUGAAAGACGGUCUUGCUGUCACUUAUAGAUGGAUCCGCGCUGCAUUAGCUAGUUGGUAAGGUAACGGCUUACCAAGGCAACGAUGCAUAGCCGACCUGAGAGGGUGAUCGGCCACACUGGAACUGAGACACGGUCCAGACUCCUACGGGAGGCAGCAGUAGGGAAUCUUCCGCAAUGGGCGAAAGCCUGACGGAGCAACGCCGCGUGAGUGAUGAAGGUCUUCGGAUCGUAAAACUCUGUUAUUAGGGAAGAACAUAUGUGUAAGUAACUGUGCACAUCUUGACGGUACCUAAUCAGAAAGCCACGGCUAACUACGUGCCAGCAGCCGCGGUAAUACGUAGGUGGCAAGCGUUAUCCGGAAUUAUUGGGCGUAAAGCGCGCGUAGGCGGUUUUUUAAGUCUGAUGUGAAAGCCCACGGCUCAACCGUGGAGGGUCAUUGGAAACUGGAAAACUUGAGUGCAGAAGAGGAAAGUGGAAUUCCAUGUGUAGCGGUGAAAUGCGCAGAGAUAUGGAGGAACACCAGUGGCGAAGGCGACUUUCUGGUCUGUAACUGACGCUGAUGUGCGAAAGCGUGGGGAUCAAACAGGAUUAGAUACCCUGGUAGUCCACGCCGUAAACGAUGAGUGCUAAGUGUUAGGGGGUUUCCGCCCCUUAGUGCUGCAGCUAACGCAUUAAGCACUCCGCCUGGGGAGUACGACCGCAAGGUUGAAACUCAAAGGAAUUGACGGGGACCCGCACAAGCGGUGGAGCAUGUGGUUUAAUUCGAAGCAACGCGAAGAACCUUACCAAAUCUUGACAUCCUUUGACAACUCUAGAGAUAGAGCCUUCCCCUUCGGGGGACAAAGUGACAGGUGGUGCAUGGUUGUCGUCAGCUCGUGUCGUGAGAUGUUGGGUUAAGUCCCGCAACGAGCGCAACCCUUAAGCUUAGUUGCCAUCAUUAAGUUGGGCACUCUAAGUUGACUGCCGGUGACAAACCGGAGGAAGGUGGGGAUGACGUCAAAUCAUCAUGCCCCUUAUGAUUUGGGCUACACACGUGCUACAAUGGACAAUACAAAGGGCAGCGAAACCGCGAGGUCAAGCAAAUCCCAUAAAGUUGUUCUCAGUUCGGAUUGUAGUCUGCAACUCGACUACAUGAAGCUGGAAUCGCUAGUAAUCGUAGAUCAGCAUGCUACGGUGAAUACGUUCCCGGGUCU
RNAcentral lists this ribosomal RNA (1372 nucleotides) under uncultured bacterium. RNAcentral's name for it is "bacterial SSU rRNA". It matches the Rfam family "Bacterial small subunit ribosomal RNA", at positions 28 to 1381 of the family's 1533-position model. The record is from RNAcentral.